This 369-nucleotide ribosomal RNA is filed under the name uncultured organism. RNAcentral's name for it is "bacterial SSU rRNA". It matches the Rfam family "Bacterial small subunit ribosomal RNA", at positions 526 to 896 of the family's 1533-position model. The record is from RNAcentral.
CGGAGGAUCCGAGCGUUGUCCGGAUUUACUGGGUUUAAAGGGUGCGUAGGUGGACUUUUAAGUCAGUGGUGAAAGCCUGUAGCUUAACUAUAGAAUUGCCAUUGAAACUGAAAGUCUUGAGUACAGUUGAGGUGAGCGGAAUGUAUCAUGUAGCGGUGAAAUGCUUAGAUAUGAUACAGAACACCGAUUGCGAAGGCAGCUCACUAAACUGCAACUGACACUGAGGCACGAAAGCGUGGGGAUCAAACAGGAUUAGAUACCCUGGUAGUCCACGCUGUAAACGUUGAAUACUCGAUGUGUGCGAGUACACUGUACGCGUCUAAGCGAAAGCGUUAAGUAUUCCACCUGGGGAGUACGAUCGCAAGAUUG